GGACGAACGCUGGCGGCGUGCUUAACACAUGCAAUUCGAACGGAAAGGCCCUUCUUUUGUGGGGUGCUCGAUUGGCGAACGGGUGAGUAACACGUGAGUAACCUGCCCUUGACUUUUGGAUAACUUCAGGAAACUGGGGCUAAUACCGGAUAGGAUCUCCUGCUUCUUGGUUGGGGUUGGUAAGUUUCGGCGGUUGGGGAUUGACUCGCUGCUUAUCAGCUUGUUGGUGGGGUAGUGGCUUACCAAGUCUUUGACGGGUAGCCGGCCUGCGAGGGUGACCGGCGACAAUGGGACUGAGAGACGGCCCAGAAUGCAACGGGAGGCAGCAGAGGGGAAUAUUGCACAAUGGGAGGAAGCCAGAUGCAGCAACGCAGCGUGCGGGAUGACGGCCUUCGGGUUGUAAACCGAUUUCGCAUGAGACGAAGCGUGAGUGACGGUAAUGGGUAAAGAAGCACCGGCUAACUACGUG
This 469-nucleotide ribosomal RNA is filed under the name uncultured bacterium. RNAcentral's name for it is "partial 16S ribosomal RNA". It matches the Rfam family "Bacterial small subunit ribosomal RNA", at positions 27 to 507 of the family's 1533-position model. The record is from RNAcentral.